GACGAACCGUGCAAACGUUAUUCGGAAUCACUGGGCUUAAAGCGCGUGUAGGCGGGACGGCACGUCGGUCGCUGAAAGCCCCCGGCUCAACCGGGGAAUGGGCGCCGAUACGACCGUCCUGGAGGAACGUAGGGGGACCUGGAACUUCCGGUGGAGCGGUGAAAUGCGUUGAGAUCGGAAGGAACGCCCGUGGCGAAAGCGGCUCUCUGGGACGGUACUGACGCUGAGACGCGAAAGCGUGGGGAGCGAACAGG
RNAcentral lists this ribosomal RNA (254 nucleotides) under uncultured bacterium. Its description in RNAcentral is "partial 16S ribosomal RNA". It matches the Rfam family "Bacterial small subunit ribosomal RNA", at positions 524 to 776 of the family's 1533-position model. The record is from RNAcentral.